UCAUGCUUGUCUUCGAUGUGUAGCUAUGUUACAAAAUUUGUGAUUCUAAACCUCUAUGCCCUGAGGUUGCAUACUCUUACCCAAUAAGAUGGGAUAAUGUCAUAUCUCAUUUUUUCUUUCUCCAACUUGUUACAAAACAAAGCUUACAUUUCACCUGAGAACUGUGCAUUUUCAUUGCACAAAUCAAAAUGCUUGUAAGUCGAUGCCCAUACACCUGAAAAUAAAAAAUAUGGAAGAUAAAUAUGUUGAACUCUUCACAAGAAUGAAUGAAUAACCAACAGAAGUUCUAAAACAAUCAAAAGACCCAAUAAUGAAACAUUUUUGAACAUAUUUUAAAAAUGUGUGCGGGUAUUAAAAUAUAUAAUCUUGUUAUAGGCAAAUGGUAGCUUACCUUGAGAUUUUGGCUUUCUAAGCUAUUGCAACUUUUAAUAAGAUUUUCUGGUAAUUACAUAUGUAAUUCUACCUAAAUUAGUUUUUAAAAAUGCCAGAAUUUAAGGCCAAGCUUCUUGUGAUGAGAUCUCCUUUCCUGUGUUCUCCCUGUUCAUGCGCAAUUUUAAAGGCAUAGAUGUCUGAUUUUAAUACAAAAAGAGCUUGUGAAAUUAGGCACAAUCAUACUUUAUAACUUUCUCCAAUUUUGCUCUUUUUUUCUGAUAUUCACUGGAGAAAGCAAUUAUGGUGGGAAAAGUUAGCAGUAAAAGGAAACUGGGCAUCCAAACAGCACAAUGGCCAGAUGCCAUCAAAGCUCACACCAGCCAAAGCACAGAAAAAAACUCAAAGAAGCAAUGCAAGAUCAGAAGAUGUGGAGACCUGGCCCAUAAAAUCACCAAGGGUUGGACAUGACCGACUCUGUAUCAUCAUCUCUCAUAUGGAAUUUUGAAGAUUUCCUAAAAUUGUAAAAGAGGCAGGAGCAAGAAGAAAAUGGCCAGGAUUAUCUUUUCAAACUAAUUUUUAAGCUGUUGGGUUUUGUAACUGGCGGAGGAAGAAGCAGGAAUGAUGAGCAUUUUAAAGAUCUGAUGCGGAUGUGGACUUAAUGUAGCAUUCUACCUUCAAUCAGAAUAGAGUAGGAAGGGACCUUGGAGGUCUUCUAGUCCAAUCCCCUGCUCAAGCAGGAGACUCUAUACCAUUUCAGACAGGUGGCUGUCCAGUCUCUUCUUAAAAACCUCCAGUGAUG
Molecule: long non-coding RNA, 1171 nt
Organism: Crotalus tigris (Tiger rattlesnake)
Lineage: Eukaryota; Metazoa; Chordata; Lepidosauria; Squamata; Viperidae
Exons: 3
Source: RefSeq, a predicted model, not a curated record